This is a non-coding RNA of Paramormyrops kingsleyae, 369 nucleotides long. Lineage: Eukaryota; Metazoa; Chordata; Actinopteri; Osteoglossiformes; Mormyridae. The record is from RefSeq and is a predicted model, not a curated record.
CCAGAGGGAAGAUCUCUCCAGAAAGAGGAGCUGGAAUGUUUUGUCUCCUGAGAGGUUACUAUACAAACAGCCCAGUGCGACAAGGGGGCGUCCUGAUGUCAUGGCCGUAACCCCCUGGUUGGCACCGAUCAUCUGGGAAGAAACCUUUAACCCUGAGCUGGUUGAUGCCAUAUACAAGCCAAUGAAUCUCACCAUCGCAACCACUGUGUUUGCUGUUGGAAAGUAUAUCAGGUUUCUGGGUGAAUUCUUGGAAACGGCAGAGAAGAACUUUAUGGUUGACUUCAAAGUGCACUAUCACAUUUUCACUGACCAGCUGCACAAAGUGCCAGCAAUGAAUCUGGCUGCUUGAAGAAAAAUCUUUGUCCAUCA